GACGAACGCUGGCGGCGUGCCUAACACAUGCAAGUCGAGCGGGGACAGUUGGAAGCUUGCUUUUGACUGUUUUAGCGGCGGACGGGUGAGUAACGCGUGAGCAACCUUUCCCAGACAGGGGAAUAACACACCGAAAGGUGUACUAAUACCGCAUAAGACCACGGGAUCACAUGGUUCUGAGGUAAAAGAUUUAUCGGUUUGGGGUGGGCUCGCGUCCGAUUAGGUAGUUGGUGAGGUAACGGCCCACCAAGCCGACGAUCGGUAGCCGACCUGAGAGGGUGAUCGGCCACAUUGGGACUGAGACACGGCCCAAACUCCUACGGGAGGCAGCAGUGGGGAAUAUUGGGCAAUGGGGGAAACCCUGAUGCAGCGACGCCGCGUGGAGGAAGAAGGUCUUCGGAUUGUAAACUCCUGUUGUUGAGGAAGAUAAUGACGGUACUCAACAAGGAAGUGACGGCUAACUACGUG
RNAcentral lists this ribosomal RNA (468 nucleotides) under uncultured bacterium. Its description in RNAcentral is "bacterial SSU rRNA". It matches the Rfam family "Bacterial small subunit ribosomal RNA", at positions 28 to 507 of the family's 1533-position model. The record is from RNAcentral.